CCGAGUGGACAUGCGCCGACAAUACACGGGGCUAAGCACGGCGCCGAAGCGGCGGAUAUGUUUUUACAUAUGGUAGGGGAGCGUCCCGCGGGGGGCGAAGCCGGAGGGCGACCGACGGUGGACCGCGCGGGAGCGAGGAUGCUGGCAUGAGUAGCGAGAGUGGAGAGGGUAACUCCACCGCCGUGAACCCGAGGUUUCCUGGGCGAGGCUAAUCCCCCCAGGGUCAGUCGGGGGCUAAGGCGAGGCCGGAAGGCGUAGCCGAAGCGCAGCAGGCAGACAUUCCUGCACCGCGCACGCGGCGCUAUGACCGAUGCGGCGACGGAUGGGGGUGGCUCGGCCGGGUUCUGGACGUCCCGGUGAUGGAGCGCGGCCCGUCGGGGAGGGAAGUCCCCCCGGCGCGAGGGUUAGGCUCCGGACGAAGCGACUGAGCGAAGCGAGUGAGCCCGUGGUCCCUAGAAAAACCGCUAGGCAGGCGCGUGCGCGCCCGUACCGCAAACCGACACAGGUGGGUGGGUAGAACAUACCGAGGCGAUCGGGUCAACCGUGGUCAAGGAACUCGGCACAAUGGCCCCGUAACCUAGGGAGAAGGGGUGCCCCCGCGUACGUGAACCGGCUCGCCCGGGGAGCGGAGGGGGGCCGCAGUGAAGAGGCCCAAGCGACUGUUUACCAAAAACACAGGACUCUGCAGAAGCCGCAAGGCGACGUAUAGGGUCUGACGCCUGCCCGGUGCCGGAAGGUCACGCGGAGGGGUCAGCCGCAAGGCGAAGCUCCGAAGCCAAGCCCCGGUAAACGGCGGCCGUAACUAUAACGGUCCUAAGGUAGCGAAAUUCCUUGUCGGGUAAGUUCCGACCUGCACGAAAGGCGCAACGACUUGGGCGCUGUCUCGACCACGGACCCGGUGAAAUUGCACUGGUCGUGAAGAUGCGACCUACCCGCGGAAGGACGGAAAGACCCCGUGAACCUUCACUGCAGCUUGGCAUUGGCCGCUGCUCGGGAGCGUAGAGGAUAGGCGGGAGGCUUCGAAGCCGGGGCGCCAGCCCCGGUGGAGCCGACCUUGGAAUACCGCCCCCUCCCGUGCGGCGUCCUAACCCCCGGCCGCGAUCCGGCGGGGGGACCGUGCCAGGUGGGCAGUUUGACUGGGGCGGUCGCCUCCUAAAGGGUAACGGAGGCGCGCGAAGGUUGGCUCGGGGCGGUCGGCAACCGCCCUCAUAGAGUGCAAGAGCGCAAGCCAGCUUGACUGCGAGUCCUACAAGACGAGCAGGUGCGAAAGCAGGCUCUAGUGAUCCGGCGGCCCCACGUGGGAGGGCCGUCGCUCAACGGAUAAAAGGUACUCCGGGGAUAACA
Molecule: ribosomal RNA, 1344 nt
Filed under: human gut metagenome
Description: bacterial LSU rRNA
Rfam family: Bacterial large subunit ribosomal RNA
Source: RNAcentral